Molecule: unclassified non-coding RNA, 400 nt
Filed under: soil metagenome
Description: partial contains 5.8S ribosomal RNA, internal transcribed spacer 2, and large subunit ribosomal RNA
Rfam family: 5.8S ribosomal RNA (bases 1-120)
Source: RNAcentral
GAUGAAGAACGCAGCGAAAUGCGAUAAGUAAUGUGAAUUGCAGAAUUCAGUGAAUCAUCGAAUCUUUGAACGCAUCUUGCGCUCCUUGGUAUUCUGAGGAGCAUGCCUGUUUGAGUAUCAUGAACACCUCAACUCUUGUGGUUUCCCACAAUGAGCUUGGACUGUGGAGGUUUUGUUGGCCCUGUGGUCAGCUCCUCUCAAAUGGAUCAGCUUACCGGUGUUUGGUGGCAUUACGGGUGUGAUAACUAUCUACGCUCGUGGUCGUCUCCAAAUAACCUCCAGUGAUGGAGGUUCGCUGGAGCUUAUAAAUGUCUCUCCCCAGUGAAGACAGCCUUUGAACGUUCGAUCUCAAAUCAGGUAGGACUACCCGCUGAACUUAAGCAUAUCAAUAAGCGGAGGA